Catharus ustulatus (Swainson's thrush) is the source of this 438-nucleotide non-coding RNA. The record is from the annotation of a RefSeq genome assembly. NCBI's taxonomy places the organism in Eukaryota, Metazoa, Chordata, Aves, Passeriformes, Turdidae.
CCCGCAGGGCUCCGGGCGGCCGUGACCCUGCUGGAGUGCGGGGGGGACCUCCAGACCCCCGGGGGGUCCCUGACUCUGCUCUGCCGCGGGUCUGGAUUCGAUUUUGGGAGUUUUGGAAUGGGUUGGAUCCGCCAGAGCCCCGGGAAGGCGCUGGAAUACGUCGCGGGGAUCAGCAGCAGUGGCAGCAGCACCAGCUACGCACCGUCUGUCAAGGGUCGUUUCACAAUCUCCAGGGACAAUGGGCAGAGCUCGGUGACGCUGACCAUGAACAACCUCAAGGACGAGGAUUCCGCCGUUUAUUUCUGUGCCAAACGUUACAACAGUGGUUAUGUUGCUGCUGGUGCUACUCUUGUUGGUUUUGGUGACAAUGCCGGUUGUGACUCCAAGACCCCAUUGUUGGGUCCCCAAAUGCUGCAAAAUGUCCAAAUCCUUCUCUGA